CACUGCUUGAGGAAUAAGCAUCGGCUAACUCCGUGCCAGCAGCCGCGGUAAUACGGGGGAUGCAAGCGUUAUCCGGAUUUAUUGGGCGUAAAGGGUUUGUAGRUUGYUGGCUGUAAKUCUAUGGCUCAAAUUCCGAAGCUCAACUUCGGGMCGGCACCUAGAAACUAAUCAACUUGAGUACGUUAGAGGCAGGGGGAAUUCCCAGUGUAGCGGUGAAAUGCGUAGAUAUUGGAAGGAACACCAAUGGCGAAGGCACUCUACUAGACUUUUACUGACACUCAGAGACGAAAGCUAGGGUAGCAAAAGGGAUUAGAUACCCCUGUAGUCCUAGCCGUAAACGAUGGAUACUAGAUGUUGUGCAUAAUGGACAGUAUCGUAGCUAACGCGUUAAGUAUCCCGCCUGGGGAGUACGCUCGCAAGGGUGAAACUCAAAGGAAUUGACGGGGGCCCGCACAAGCGGUGGAGCAUGUGGUUUAAUUCGAUGCAACGCGAAGAACCUUACCAGGGCUUGACAUACUACAGAUUCUUUUGAGAAAAAGAAGUGCCUUCGGGAAUGUAGAUACAGGUGGUGCAUGGCUGUCGUCAGCUCGUGUCGUGAGAUGUUGGGUUAAGUCCCGCAACGAGCGCAACCCUUAUUUUUAGUUACUAAUUCGUUAGGUUCUCUAGAAAGMCUGCCKGUGACAAACCGGAGGAAGGUGAGGAUGACGUCAAGUCAGCAUGCCCCUUAUGUCCUGGGCUACACACGUGCUACAAUGGUUAAGACAAAGAGUCGCGAGCUCGCGAGAGUCAGCUAAUCUCAUAAACUUAGCCUAAGUUCAGAUUGUAGGCUGCAACUCGCCUACCUGAAGAGUGASUCUU
This 858-nucleotide ribosomal RNA is filed under the name uncultured phototrophic eukaryote. RNAcentral's name for it is "bacterial SSU rRNA". It matches the Rfam family "Bacterial small subunit ribosomal RNA", at positions 473 to 1335 of the family's 1533-position model. The record is from RNAcentral.